This 522-nucleotide long non-coding RNA is filed under the name Calidris pugnax (ruff). RNAcentral's name for it is "lncRNA (ENSCPUG00000012409.1)". The record is from RNAcentral. Lineage: Eukaryota; Metazoa; Chordata; Aves; Charadriiformes; Scolopacidae.
CCCUCACCUCUCACCUUUGCCCCCGCCCCUCUCUGUCACUUCCGCCUGCUGCCGGCAUGGCGGCCGGCGCGAGCUGCUGGUUGGCUAGAGCGGCAGUGACGCGCCGAGGGCGGGCGGCUCGCGCGUCCUCGCGGCUCCUGAGGGCGCUCGCGGCGGCCGUUAACGGUCGCUCCUCUCAGAGGCGGUGAGCGCUGGGUCGGCGCUGCCGCUGCCUGCAGCGGGGAGAGCCCAGCCCUCACGCAGAAACUGCCCCUCGCCACCUCCUGCCGCUCGCCUGCCUUCCCCCGAGCUCCUGGUUUUGGAUUCAGGGGACAGCCCAGUUUACAUGAAGUCAACUCCCAAGUCAUCCUCCUCACACUCUGGAAGAUGCUUUGGCAUGGAAAAGAGGAGCGGCUGGAGCCUAAUGAGUCAUACUCUGCUAUUAAGAGACCAAUGAAGUAUUUGUAUACUCAGAGAGAAGAAUUAUUGAUGUCGUUCAUUAACUGGACUUUGGUCACCACUUGUUUUAACUACAUAGAUUAA